This 497-nucleotide ribosomal RNA is filed under the name uncultured bacterium. RNAcentral's name for it is "partial 16S ribosomal RNA". It matches the Rfam family "Bacterial small subunit ribosomal RNA", at positions 28 to 507 of the family's 1533-position model. The record is from RNAcentral.
GAUGAACGCUGGCGGCGUGCCUAAUACAUGCAAGUCGAGCGAACAGACGAGGAGCUUGCUCCUCUGACGUUAGCGGCGGACGGGUGAGUAACACGUGGAUAACCUACCUAUAAGACUGGGAUAACUUCGGGAAACCGGAGCUAAUACCGGAUAAUAUAUUGAACCGCAUGGUUCAAUAGUGAAAGACGGUUUUGCUGUCACUUAUAGAUGGAUCCGCGCCGCAUUAGCUAGUUGGUAAGGUAACGGCUUACCAAGGCAACGAUGCGUAGCCGACCUGAGAGGGGGAUAGGCAACACUGGAACUGAGACACGGUCAAGACUCCUAAGGGAGGCAGCAGUAGGGAAUCUUCCGCAAUGGGCGAAAGCCUGACGGAGCAACGCCGCGUGAGUGAUGAAGGUCUUCGGAUCGUAAAACUCUGUUAUUAGGGAAGAACAAAUGUGUAAGUAACUAUGCACGUCUUGACGGUACCUAAUCAGAAAGCCACGGCUAACUACGUG